CCUACGGGAGGCAGCAGUCAGGAAUCUUUCUCAAUGGACGAAAGUCUGAAGGAGCCAAGUCGCGUGAGUGAUGACUGCCCUAUGGGUUGUAAACUUCUUUUAUAUGGGAGUACAUUGUUCCACGUGUGUAAUUUUGUCUUUACCAUAUGAAUUCUGAUCGGCUAACUCCGUGCCAGCAGCCGCGGUAAGACGGUGGGUCCGAGCCUUAUCCUGAUUGAUUUGUUUUAAAGGGCGCGUAGGUUGAUUGGUAAGUCAGUUGUGAAAGGUUGCGGCUCAACCGUAAAAUGGCAGUUGAAACUGGCAGUCUUGAGUACAGUAGAGGUAGGCGGAAUUCGUGGUGGAGCGGUGAAAUGCGUAGAUAUCACGAAGAACUCCGAUUGCGAAGGCAGUUCACUGGACUGCAACUGACACUGAGGCUCGAAAGUGUGGGUAUCAAACAGGAUUAGAUACCCUUGUAGUC
This 460-nucleotide ribosomal RNA is filed under the name uncultured bacterium. Its description in RNAcentral is "partial 16S ribosomal RNA". It matches the Rfam family "Bacterial small subunit ribosomal RNA", at positions 338 to 795 of the family's 1533-position model. The record is from RNAcentral.